Molecule: ribosomal RNA, 522 nt
Filed under: uncultured archaeon
Lineage: Archaea
Description: bacterial SSU rRNA
Rfam family: Archaeal small subunit ribosomal RNA
Source: RNAcentral
ACGGGGUGCAGCAGGCGCGAAAUCUUCACAAUGUGCGAAAGCACGAUGAGGGGAUCCCAAGUGUUGGUUCGUAAGAAUCAUCUGUUUCUUUGUCUAAAAAACAGAGAGGGUAAGAGCUGGGUAAGACGGGUGCCAGCCGCCGCGGUAAUACCUGCAGCUCAAGUGGUGGCCGCUAUUAUUGGGCCUAAAACGUCCGUAGCCGGUUUAGUAAAUGCUUGGGUAAAUUGUGUAGCUCAACUAUACGAAUACCGAGUAGACUGCUGAACUUGGGACCGGGAGAGGCUAGAGGUACUCCUAGGGUAGAGGUGAAAUUCUGUAAUCCUAGGGGGACCACCAGUGGCGAAGGCGUCUAGCUAGAACGGGUCUGACGGUGAGGGACGAAGCCCUGGGGCGCAAACCGGAUUAGAUACCCGGGUAGUCCAGGGUGUAAACGCUGCUCGCUUGAUGUUAGUUGGGCUCCGAGCCCAACUAGUGUCGGAGAGAAGUUGUUAAGCGAGCUGCCUGGGAAGUACGUCGCAAGGC